AACGAACGCUGGCGGCAUGCCUAACACAUGCAAGUCGAACGAACCCUUCGGGGUGAGUGGCGCACGGGUGCGUAACGCGUGGGAACCUGCCCUUAGGUUUGGAAUAACAGUGAGAAAUCGCUGCUAAUACCAAAUAAUGUCUUCGGACCAAAGAUUUAUCGCCUUUGGAUGGGCCCGCGUUGGAUUAGCUAGUUGGUGGGGUAAAGGCUCACCAAGGCGACGAUCCAUAGCUGGUCUUAGAGGAUGAUCAGCCACACUGGGACUGAGACACGGCCCAGACUCCUACGGGAGGCAGCAGUGGGGAAUAUUGGACAAUGGGCGAAAGCCUGAUCCAGCAAUGCCGCGUGAGUGAUGAAGGCCUUAGGGUUGUAAAGCUCUUUUACCAGGGAUGAUAAUGACAGUACCUGGAGAAUAAGCUCCGGCUAACUCCGUGCCAGCCGCCGCCGUAACAC
This 452-nucleotide ribosomal RNA is filed under the name uncultured bacterium. RNAcentral describes it as "bacterial SSU rRNA". It matches the Rfam family "Bacterial small subunit ribosomal RNA", at positions 29 to 526 of the family's 1533-position model. The record is from RNAcentral.